This is a non-coding RNA of Chrysemys picta bellii (western painted turtle), 1231 nucleotides long. The record is from RefSeq and is a predicted model, not a curated record. NCBI's taxonomy places the organism in Eukaryota, Metazoa, Chordata, Testudines, Emydidae.
AGCAGCCCCCCCCCUCCUUUUUUUUUGUCAUGCGUGCUCUUGGUUGCAUCCUGACCUCUACCUCAGGCUGACCCUUUGGAGGGGCAUGGGGGGGGGGGAAGAGAAGAGAGGAAGGGCGGGAGAUGGGAGACUUCUGCAGACACAGCCAUUAUGCAUCAAGGUGUGCGGCAAGCUGAGCAUGGAAGGUUGCCUCUCCUUAACUCCUGCUUCAACCUUCUAUUCUGCCUGUGCUCUUCAGUGCUCUCUCUCUCUAGCGCUGUGUCUUAGCCUUAGCUAGAUUGGCUCUAAGGAGAAGGCUGACGGCUGCAGCAUGAAGCGCAUUAUUACCUUGUGAUUCCAUGACCCUCCUCUAUGCAUCCCUAACUCUCGAAAGCUGAUUCAGCUUUCAGCUAGUGCUCUGGUGACUCCACUGCUGCAACAGAAUCUUCUAACUGGUAUGUUACAGGCAUCUUCAGCUGUCAUGGAGUUCAACUGGAUGACAUUUAAAUUUUUUUUUAAAGCCAACCCCCAAGCCCCAAAAGGCAUGUCAUUUCUUUCCGGGGUUUCGUAUCUGCAAGGUAGUGUUUCACUUACAAUGACCUGCAAAGGAAAAAUCUCUGGAGUCUCUAGACCCACUGUUCAGACCUAGCAGCUAAGAAGCUUAAAUAAAUCCCGACGGCCUGAAAACGAAGCUGUUUGAACCAGGGCAGCAACCAGACGAGGUCCAGGCGGCUGUGAAGGAAAGAGUCCUGAGGAAUCGCCCUUUUUGCUUUCCAUGAGCCAUGAGGCCAAAUGCUUUGCUAAAGCUGGUAAAAUGGAACCAAAUCAACUGUUCAAUGGAUUUGGUCCCCUUCAACCAGCUGUAGCUGUGCAUUGAUCACUCAGACGCAGCUCGAAGGAUUAAGUACUUGAACUGGACCAAGACAACUAAGGUAGCAGAAGACAAAUGGCCACCUGGACCCUGUCGAUAAGGAAAUGAUGAUGACUGGCGCCUGCAGAUCUAUCCCCCUGACUCUAAACUGGUGGGCUGAACCUGAGUCAUUAUGCGGUUGCCAGUCAAUUCCGUGUAACCGAGACCCCCUCGAGAUUGAUAAUCUCAAUCUUCCCACUGUAUUGAUCUGAGCUGUAAUUCAGAACUGUAUAUUUGAACUGCAAAUGCUGCAUUUUCACAUGUAUGCACUGAAGCCUUUCAUAGAGCCCCAUGCCUUGAUGGUCCAUCUAUUGUGAUGAUGAAUAAACAUUUUGAUGCUAA